CUGCGUCGCCCUCCUUGGGCGUUUCCUCCCUAGACUUGGGCUGCGCUUUCCGGCGUGGCCCUUUUUUCUUUUCGGG
The sequence is a small RNA, 76 nucleotides long. It matches the Rfam family "Makes More Granules Regulator RNA (mmgR)". From Rfam's summary of the family: SuhB later renamed mmgR (makes more granules regulator) was a putative non-coding RNA found multiple times in the Agrobacterium tumefaciens genome and related alpha-proteobacteria. Other non-coding RNAs uncovered in the same analysis include: speF, ybhL, metA, and serC. The record is from Rfam.